CGUGAGCAAUCUGCCUUGGAGUGGGGAAUAACGGUUGGAAACAGCCGCUAAUACCGCAUGAUGCGUCUGGGAGGCAUCUCUCUGGACGCCAAAGAUUUAUCGCUCUGAGAUGAGCUCGCGUCUGAUUAGCUUGUUGGCGGGGUAAAGGCCCACCAAGGCGACGAUCAGUAGCCGGACUGAGAGGUUGACCGGCCACAUUGGGACUGAGAUACGGCCCAGACUCCUACGGGAGGCAGCAG
Molecule: ribosomal RNA, 239 nt
Filed under: uncultured bacterium
Lineage: Bacteria
Description: partial 16S ribosomal RNA
Rfam family: Bacterial small subunit ribosomal RNA
Source: RNAcentral